Non-coding RNA from Nicotiana tabacum (common tobacco), 1078 nucleotides. Lineage: Eukaryota; Viridiplantae; Streptophyta; Magnoliopsida; Solanales; Solanaceae. The record is from RefSeq and is a predicted model, not a curated record.
AACCAUUUCCCUGAUUACUUGAAGACCCUAAACCUAAUUUUCUAACCUAGAGAAGAACACCCCUCCCAGUCGUUCCCUCUUCUUCAUCUCACAACCUAGGAACCCUUCUUCUUCUUUAACCCUAGGCCUAACCUAGAAGAACCCCUGAAAAUUGGUUGCUCACCCGGAUGAGAUGACCUUUUCCCUUCCUUCUUCUUAGAUUAACACACACACACGACACAAUCAAUGAAGGGGAAAAAGAUGAGAAAUCUAAAAAAAAGUGGAAGCUAAAAGACCUAAUCUUGAAAGAGACGCACAACACCCACCAAAAUCGGCCUCUAUCAUCUCCCUCACUCUUCUCCAUCUCUAAGCUGCGAUCUCAAUCUCAAAAACAUAGAACCUAAGUGCCGUUGCCUUCUUCCAAAAACACCCAACCAGCCAUGGCCAAAAUGACCUCAUUCCUCAUUUUCCUCACCCGGUUUCAUCGGUAACAGUCCGGUGACAGCCAUGGUUGAACAACAUCGACGAACCACCACUGUUUCACCAUUUUCUGUCUAAUGUUCUCACUUUGUUAUCUCGUUCACAGAUCUGAAGGGAAAUAAAUAAAAAGUUUUAAUUCUUCUUAGUUUCAAUUUGACUCCAAAUUCAAAAAUACACAAAAAAUAAAUAAUCAAGUUUCCGCUCUGACUUUGGGUUCCAAAAACAUGGAGAUUAGUUGAGGGUCGUUGACUUCUCGUGAGGUUCAAGUUCGUUGGUUCCUAAUCAAUUUCUAUUGCUGUCUUGCUCGUUUGCUACUGGAUGCACAAAUUCCGGCGCCGGAUUUGCUUGUAAUAGCUUCUGAACAAGGUUAAUCGAGAGUUUAAUUCAGUGUGGAUCUACUUACCAGAGCUUGAGCAUGACAGACGCCCAAGGACCCUCUUAGUCAGGACCAUUGCAUCCAAGAGUUGUGUCACGACCCUAAACCGGACCCGGUCGUGAUAGCGCCUCUCGUGAAGACAAGGCCAGUCGACACAAUUCCCAAAUUCAGUUUUAACAGUUUAAUAAGUCAAUUUAAGUCAUUUAUAAGGAUAAAUCCCCAACAACUAUAGAUUUAGCGAAA